GACAGAGGUCCCGAGCGUUAGGCGGAAUCACUGGGCUUAAAGCGUGUGUAGGCGGAUUUGUAAGUACCUUGUGAAAUCCCACGGCUUAACCGUGGAACUGCUUGGUAUACUGCUUAGCUUGGGCCAGCUAGGGGCUACCGGAACAAGUGGUGGAGCGGUGAAAUGCGUAGAUAUUGGGAGGAACACCAGUGGCGAAGGCGGCUUGCCAGAACGCACUCGACGGUGAGGGAUGAAAGCUGGGGGAGCAAACCGG
This 253-nucleotide ribosomal RNA is filed under the name uncultured bacterium. Its description in RNAcentral is "partial 16S ribosomal RNA". It matches the Rfam family "Bacterial small subunit ribosomal RNA", at positions 524 to 776 of the family's 1533-position model. The record is from RNAcentral.